AGAGUUUGAUCAUGGCUCAGAUUGAACGCUGGCGGCAGGCCUAACACAUGCAAGUCGAACGGUAACAGGAAACAGCUUGCUGUUUCGCUGACGAGUGGCGGACGGGGGAGUAAUGUCUGGGAAACUGCCUGAUGGGGGGGGAUAACUACUGGAAACGGUAGCUAAUACCGCAUAACGUCGCAAGACCAAAGAGGGGGACCUUCGGGCCUCUUGCCAUCGGAUGUGCCCAGAUGGGAUUAGCUUGUUGGUGGGGUAACGGCUCACCAAGGCGACGAUCCCUAGCUGGUCUGAGAGGAUGACCAGCCACACUGGAACUGAGACACGGUCCAGACUCCUACGGGAGGCAGCAGUGGGGAAUAUUGCACAAUGGGCGCAAGCCUGAUGCAGCCAUGCCGCGUGUAUGAAGAAGGCCUUCGGGUUGUAAAGUACUUUCAGCGGGGAGGAAGGGAGUAAAGUUAAUACCUUUGCUCAUUGACGUUACCCGCAGAAGAAGCACCGGCUAACUCCGUGCCAGCAGCCGCGGUAAUACGGAGGGUGCAAGCGUUAAUCGGAAUUACUGGGCGUAAAGCGCACGCAGGCGGUUUGUUAAGUCAGAUGUGAAAUCCCCGGGCUCAACCUGGGAACUGCAUCUGAUACUGGCAAGCUUGAGUCUCGUAGAGGGGGGUAGAAUUCCAGGUGUAGCGGUGAAAUGCGUAGAGAUCUGGAGGAAUACCGGUGGCGAAGGCGGCCCCCUGGACGAAGACUGACGCUCAGGUGCGAAAGCGUGGGGAGCAAACAGGAUUAGAUACCCUGGUAGUCCACGCCGUAAACGAUGUCGACUUGGAGGUUGUGCCCUUGAGGCGUGGCUUCCGGAGCUAACGCGUUAAGUCGACCGCCUGGGGAGUACGGCCGCAAGGUUAAAACUCAAAUGAAUUGACGGGGGCCCGCACAAGCGGUGGAGCAUGUGGUUUAAUUCGAUGCAACGCGAAGAACCUUACCUGGUCUUGACAUCCACGGAAGUUUUCAGAGAUGAGAAUGUGCCUUCGGGAGCUGUGAGACAGGUGCUGCAUGGCUGUCGUCAGCUCGUGUUGUGAAAUGUUGGGUUAAGUCCCGCAACGAGCGCAACCCUUAUCCUUUGUUGCCAGCGGUCCGGCCGGGAACUCAAAGGAGACUGCCAGUGAUAAACUGGAGGAAGGUGGGGAUGACGUCAAGUCAUCAUGGCCCUUACGACCAGGGCUACACACGUGCUACAAUGGCGCAUACAAAGAGAAGCGACCUCGCGAGAGCAAGCGGACCUCAUAAAGUGCGUCGUAGUCCGGAUUGGAGUCUGCAACUCGACUCCAUGAAGUCGGAAUCGCUAGUAAUCGUGGAUCAGAAUGCCACGGUGAAUACGUUCCCGGGCCUUGUACACACCGCCCGUCACACCAUGGGAGUGGGUUGCAAAAGAAGUAGGUAGCUUAACCUUCGGGAGGGCGCUUACCACUUUGUGAUUCAUGACUGGGGUGAAGUCGUAACAAGGUAACCGUAGGGGAACCUGCGGUUGGAUCACCU
Molecule: ribosomal RNA, 1530 nt
Filed under: Escherichia coli O104:H4 str. 11-4632 C2
Lineage: Bacteria; Pseudomonadati; Pseudomonadota; Gammaproteobacteria; Enterobacterales; Enterobacteriaceae
Description: bacterial SSU rRNA
Rfam family: Bacterial small subunit ribosomal RNA
Source: RNAcentral